UAGGGAAUCUUCGGCAAUGGGCGCAAGCCUGAUGGAGCAACGCCGCGUGUGUGAUGAAGGGUUCCGGCUCGUAAAACACUGUUGUAAGAGAAGAAUGACAUUGAGAGUAACUGUUCAAUGUGUGACGGUAUCUUACCAGAAAGGAACGGCUAAAUACGUGCCAG
This 164-nucleotide ribosomal RNA is filed under the name uncultured bacterium. RNAcentral's name for it is "partial 16S ribosomal RNA". It matches the Rfam family "Bacterial small subunit ribosomal RNA", at positions 355 to 511 of the family's 1533-position model. The record is from RNAcentral.